This 550-nucleotide long non-coding RNA is filed under the name Nicotiana benthamiana. Its description in RNAcentral is "long non-coding RNA (NBEN_LNC005120)". Lineage: Eukaryota; Viridiplantae; Streptophyta; Magnoliopsida; Solanales; Solanaceae. The record is from RNAcentral.
GGCUGCCGGAGAUGGAAUCAAUGGCGUCGGCGAUCGGAGUAUCAGUGCCGGUGCUCCGUUUCCUGCUUUGUUUCGUCGCCACCAUUCCGGUGAGCUUCCUCCACCGUUUUGUCCCUAGCGCCGUUGGUAGACACCUCUACGCCGCCGUUACCGGCGCUGUUCUCUCGUACCUGUCAUUUGGUUUCUCCUCAAAUCUUCACUUCUUUGGGCCUAUGCUUCUGGGUUAUGUUUCUAUGGUUGUCUCUCGCCGUUACUGCGGGAUUGCUUUGUUUUGUCGCCACAAUUCCGGUGAGCUUCCUCCACCGUUUUGUCCCUAGCGCCGUCGGUAGACACCUCUACGCCGCCGUUACCGGCGCUGUUCUCUCGUACCUGUCAUUUGGUUUCUCCUCAAAUCUUCACUUCUUUGGGCCUAUGCUUCUGGGUUAUGUUUCUAUGGUUGUCUCUCGCCGUUACUGCGGGAUCAUCACUUUCUUCGCCGCGUUUGGAUACCUUAUUGGAUGGUACAUUACAUUCCCAAUCAUAAAGCUCUUUCUUUUUACUCCCUUCGUUC